GAUUUCUGACUUGUAACACCAGGUCCACUCAUUUUGGGUGCGUAUUUGGCUGUUCGGGUCAUCCUUCCGAUGAGUACCACUGCCUUUCAUUAGGUGGGUGGUGCGCCAUCGGAUCUUUUACUUUGAAAAAAUUAGAGUGUUCAAAGCAGGCAUUUAGCUGUGAAUACAUUAGCAUGGAAUAAUAAGAUAGGACUCCGGUUUUAUUUUGUUGGUUUCUAGAACUAGAGUAAUGAUUGAUAGGGAUAGUUGGGGGUGCUAGUAUUCAACGGCCAGAGGUGAAAUUCUAUGAUUCGUUGAAGACUAACUUAUGCGAAAGCAUU
Molecule: ribosomal RNA, 320 nt
Filed under: uncultured Sandonidae
Lineage: Eukaryota; Cercozoa; Glissomonadida; Viridiraptoridae
Description: SSU rRNA
Rfam family: Eukaryotic small subunit ribosomal RNA (bases 102-320)
Source: RNAcentral